RNAcentral lists this ribosomal RNA (467 nucleotides) under uncultured bacterium. RNAcentral's name for it is "bacterial SSU rRNA". It matches the Rfam family "Bacterial small subunit ribosomal RNA", at positions 330 to 793 of the family's 1533-position model. The record is from RNAcentral.
GCCAGACUCCUACGGGAGGCAGCAGUGAGGAAUAUUGGUCAAUGGGCGCGAGCCUGAACCAGCCAAGUCGCGUGAGGGAAGACGGUCCUAUGGAUUGUAAACCUCUUUUGUCGGGGAGCAAAAGACGCCACGCGUGGCGUUCCGAGAGUACCCGAAGAAAAAGCAUCGGCUAACUCCGUGCCAGCAGCCGCGGUAAUACGGAGGAUGCGAGCGUUAUCCGGAUUUAUUGGGUUUAAAGGGUGCGCAGGCGGAAGAUCAAGUCGGCGGUAAAAUUGAGGGGCUCAACCUCUUCGAGCCGUUGAAACUGGUCUUCUUGAGUGAGCGAGAAGUAUGCGGAAUGCGUGGUGUAGCGGUGAAAUGCAUAGAUAUCACGCAGAACUCCGAUUGCGAAGGCAGCAUACCGGCGCUCAACUGACGCUCAUGCACGAAAGUGUGGGGAUCGAACAGGAUUAGAUACCCCGGUAAUG